UCUCUAUGGAGUGUUCGCCGAGGACGUGUCUCUAAUCAUACGAAAUAACAAAUUUACUAGUAAUAAUAGGAUAAUCCUCCAUUCGCGCAUCUCUGUGGAAUGUUACCGAGGACAAAACAGUGUACAAAAUAUAUUGAUCAUGUGUUAUAAAGUCAUGCUUUUAACUGAUAAAUUGUGGAAAUCAUUUGUGAAAUAUAUAAAACAUAACAGUUUAUAAAACCCAUUUCACAAAUAAAUGUUUAAGUGAUCUGUGUAUUCUACUAGUUAUCAGUUGUGUAUAUCAAUAUUAAAAGCAUAUGAAAUGUGAAACACACACAUGAAAAUAAGUUUUGAUUACAAGAAAACCCUUGUACUUUGCUUGUGUUCCCCCUCUGAAAACAUUGAAAAACAGUGAAAAGGGUAGGGGUAUGAACUCACCGGACUCGUAAAUGUGUCGAUUUUGGAUACUAGACGUUGGUUCGGGGAUUGUUUACUCGCGAUGUCCCUAUGUAAAAUGUAAUAAUGUCCAUAUAAUACUAAUUAGAUUUACAAUCACUGAUUAUUUAGGACAUUACACUCCAACGAGGUUAAACACCUCAAAACGAGCGUUUGGAGUGACCCGGGUGACAUCUACGGACGUGAUAUGGCAUUAGGGACUUGGGACUUGAGUUUACUCUCCAAAAGUAAACAUUUAAAUGAGUUNCAUAAGUAAAAAUUUAAAUGAGUUUACAACCACAAAACACACCCACACAUGAGUUUACGGCCGUAAACUCAUGUUGGUGUGAUUUUGAGGGUUUAAGGGCUUAAAUGGACAUAGGGAUUGCUAGAAUGGAUAUUUAAAAUGCCUUGGAACACUUGGAAUGAAUUAACAUCAUUUAAAAGGGAGUUUACGGCCACACUCUUGGAGUUUACGGCCGUAAACUCACCCAUGGCCAAGAAUGAUUAAUUUGAACUACAAAGGACAAUCACAUGUGAUUCUAACUAAUUUUCUAAGCAUUGUUAUGAAUUUAGGUUACCAUUUAAUA
RNAcentral lists this long non-coding RNA (1004 nucleotides) under Lactuca sativa (garden lettuce). RNAcentral's name for it is "long non-coding RNA (LSAT_LNC002770)". The record is from RNAcentral. Lineage: Eukaryota; Viridiplantae; Streptophyta; Magnoliopsida; Asterales; Asteraceae.